CCAAUAGCGUAUAUUAAAGUUGUUGCAGUUAAAAAGCUCGUAGUUGAAUUUCGGGGUUAGUAAGUUGGUUGUGCCACUGGUAUGUACUGGCUUUACUGAUUCCUCCUUCUUGUAGAACCGUAAUGCCAUUAAGUUGGUGUUGCGGGGAAACAGGACUGUUACUUUGAAAAAAUUAGAGUGUUUAAAGCAAGCUAACGCUUGAAUACAUUAGCAUGGAAGAAUGAAAUAGGACGUUCGAUCCUAUUUUGUUGGUUUCUAGGAUUGACGUAAUGAUUAAUAGGGAUAGUUGGGGGCAUUAGUAUUCAAUUGUCAGAGGUGAAAUUCUUGGAUUUAUUGAAGACUAACUACUGCGAAAGCAUUUGCCAAGAAUGUUUUCAUUAAUCAAGAACGAAAGUUAGAGGUUCGAAGGCGAUCAGAUACCGCCCUAGUUCUAACCAUAAACGAUGCCGACCGGCGAUCCGCUGUCGUUACUUGAAUGACUCAGCGGGCAGCCUCCG
RNAcentral lists this unclassified non-coding RNA (497 nucleotides) under uncultured Glomus. RNAcentral describes it as "bacterial SSU rRNA". It matches the Rfam family "Eukaryotic small subunit ribosomal RNA", at positions 591 to 1092 of the family's 1831-position model. Lineage: Eukaryota; Fungi; Glomeromycota; Glomeromycetes; Glomerales; Glomeraceae. The record is from RNAcentral.